AUUGAACGCUGGCGGCAGGCCUAACACAUGCAAGUCGAGCGGAUGAAGGGAGCUUGCGUCUGGAUUCAGCGGCGGACGGGUGAGUAAAGCACAGGAAUCUGCCUGGUAGUGGGGGAUAAUGUCUGGAAAAGGGCGGUAAUAAUGCAUAAGUCGUGCGGGAGAAAGUGGGGGGUCUUUGGACCUCACGGUAUGAGAGGAGCCUAGGUCGGAUUAGCUAGCUGGUGGGGUAAGGGGCUACUAAGGCGAGUAUCGGUAACUGGUCUGAUUGGAUGAUUAGUCACACUGGAACUUGACCACGGUCCAGAGUCCUACGGGACGCACCAGUGGCGAAUAUUGGGCAAUGGGCGAAAGUCUGAUCCAGCCGUGCCGCGUGUGUGAAGAAGGUCUUCGGAUUGUAAAGCACUUUAAGUUGGGAGGAACGGCAGUAGGUUAAUACGUUGCUGUUUUGACGUUACCAACAGAAUAAGCACCGGCUAACUUCGUG
This 484-nucleotide ribosomal RNA is filed under the name uncultured bacterium. RNAcentral's name for it is "partial 16S ribosomal RNA". It matches the Rfam family "Bacterial small subunit ribosomal RNA", at positions 30 to 507 of the family's 1533-position model. The record is from RNAcentral.